RNAcentral lists this ribosomal RNA (433 nucleotides) under uncultured bacterium. RNAcentral's name for it is "partial 16S ribosomal RNA". It matches the Rfam family "Bacterial small subunit ribosomal RNA", at positions 29 to 507 of the family's 1533-position model. The record is from RNAcentral.
AACGAACGCUGGCGGCAUGCCUAACACAUGCAAGUCGAACGAGACCUUCGGGUCUAGUGGCGCCCGGGGUCGUAACGCGUGGGAACCUGCCCUUAGGGUCGGAAUAACUCCCCGAAAGGGGUGCUAAUACCGGAUAAUGUCUUCGGACCAAAGAUUUAUUGCCUUUGGAUGGACCCGCGUUGGAGUAGAUGGUUGGUAGGGUAAAAGACUCCUAAGGGGUCGAUGCAUAGCUUGUUUGAGAGAAAGGUCAGCCACUCUGGGACUGAGAAACGGCCCAGACUCUUCCGGGAGGCACGAGUGGGGAAUAUUGGAACGUGGGGGAAAGGCUGAUGGAGCAAUGCCGGGUGAGUGCUGAAGGCAUUAGGGUUGUAAAGCUCUUUUACCCGGGAUGAUAAUGACAGUACCGGGAGAAUAAGCUCCGGCUAACUCCGUG